CCAACCAACAUGCCAUCAAGAACGGGGCUGCUGCACCAGGCCAGACCUUGCACUGAAAGUGAUAAUCAACCAAUGAUGGCUUUUCUUCCUAAUGUGCAUCUGGGGCUCAAUAUUAUCUGCUGCUGGAACAAGAUAUAGCCAAUAUGACUCACGGCAGGUGAGAGGACACAGCUGGAGAAGAGCAAGUCCAGGCUUCCGCUUCCCUUGGGUGGCUGACUUCUAGAUCUGCAAUGCUUAAUCAUAAAAAAAAGGAAGCAAUGGUUGAGGACAUUAAAUGAGAAAUGUGUCUUCAAAGUACCUCGCCUGAAGAGCCAAGAUAAUUUACCAAGCCCGGAAAAGGGCAAGAGCACAUCAGGAUCAGGAUGGACACAACAGAGCUCAGUCUUGAGAAACAAUCGCAGGGGCAUCGUUACAUUUAUCUGGGUCUUUCUUCAUCUGGAGGACUUCCACUGCUGCCGUUCACUGCAGGAUUGGCCGGUGAGACGUGUAAGGAGAGACUUGGCUGUGUUACCCAUAUAAGGAGCCUCCUAGAGGCAGCCCUGCAGCCCUCAGCCCUGAGUGUGUGUAAGGCAACAAGCAUCUCAGCAGGAGGAAAAGACGUGUCUGCCUUC
This 611-nucleotide long non-coding RNA is filed under the name Equus caballus (horse). RNAcentral's name for it is "lncRNA (ENSECAG00000028136.2)". The record is from RNAcentral. Lineage: Eukaryota; Metazoa; Chordata; Mammalia; Perissodactyla; Equidae.